CGUUGAAAUAUUGGUUCCUGUACAAUCACUGGAGUUAAGCAAUGUCGAGCUUGGUCAGUACCUAGAUGAGUGACCAUUUGGGAAUACCAGGUGCUGU
Molecule: non-coding RNA, 97 nt
Organism: Acanthosepion pharaonis
Lineage: Eukaryota; Metazoa; Mollusca; Cephalopoda; Sepiida; Sepiidae
Source: the annotation of a GenBank genome assembly